CUGCAGUCAGCUAGGCCAGACAGGUUCCUUUCCUCAUAGGGGCCCCGGGUGCAAUGGCCACAAACAGCAGCCUCCUUGAGAGUGUGUGCAGCCUGCGGCCUAGGUGGACUGCCCUCGGGGACCUUGGAGACAGUU
Molecule: small nucleolar RNA, 135 nt
Organism: Mastomys coucha (southern multimammate mouse)
Lineage: Eukaryota; Metazoa; Chordata; Mammalia; Rodentia; Muridae
Product: small nucleolar RNA SNORA70
Exons: 1
Source: RefSeq, a predicted model, not a curated record